This 253-nucleotide ribosomal RNA is filed under the name uncultured bacterium. RNAcentral's name for it is "partial 16S ribosomal RNA". It matches the Rfam family "Bacterial small subunit ribosomal RNA", at positions 524 to 776 of the family's 1533-position model. The record is from RNAcentral.
UACGUAGGGGGCAAGCGUUGUCCGGAUUUAUUGGGCGUAAAGAGCGUGUAGGCGGCUGGGUAGGUCCGUUGUGAAAACUCGAGGCUCAACCUCGAGACGCCGAUGGAAACCCUCCAGCUAGAGUCCGGAAGAGGAGAGUGGAAUUCCUGGUGUAGCGGUGAAAUGCGCAGAUAUCAGGAGGAACACCGAUGGCGAAGGCAGGUCUCUGGGCCACUACUGACGCUGAGAAGCGAAAGCAUGGGGAGCGAACAGG